RNAcentral lists this ribosomal RNA (460 nucleotides) under uncultured bacterium. RNAcentral's name for it is "partial 16S ribosomal RNA". It matches the Rfam family "Bacterial small subunit ribosomal RNA", at positions 338 to 795 of the family's 1533-position model. The record is from RNAcentral.
CCUACGGGAGGCAGCAGUGAGGAAUAUUGGUCAAUGGGCGUAAGCCUGAACCAGCCAAGUCGCGUGAGGGAUGAAGGUUCUAUGGAUCGUAAACCUCUUUUAUAAGGGAAUAAAGUGUGGGACGUGUCCUGUUUUGUAUGUACCUUAUGAAUAAGGAUCGGCUAACUCCGUGCCAGCAGCCGCGGUAAUACGGAGGAUCCGAGCGUUAUCCGGAUUUAUUGGGUUUAAAGGGUGCGUAGGCGGCCUUUUAAGUCAGCGGUGAAAGUCUGUGGCUCAACCAUAGAAUUGCAUUUGAAACUGGGAGGCUUGAGUAUGUUUGAGGCAGGCGGAAUGCGUGGUGUAGCGGUGAAAUGCUUAGAUAGCACGCAGAACCCCGAUUGCGAAGGCAGCCUGCCAAGCCAUGACUGACGCUGAUGCACGAAAGCGUGGGGAUCAAACAGGAUUAGAGACCCGUGUAGUC